This 502-nucleotide ribosomal RNA is filed under the name uncultured bacterium. Its description in RNAcentral is "partial 16S ribosomal RNA". It matches the Rfam family "Bacterial small subunit ribosomal RNA", at positions 28 to 507 of the family's 1533-position model. The record is from RNAcentral.
GACGAACGCUGGCGGCGUGCUUAACACAUGCAAGUCGAACGGUGAGGGGGUCUGCUUUUGUGGGCCCUGGAUGAGUGGCGAACGGGUGAGUAACACGUGAGUAACCUGCCCCCUUCUUCUGGAUAACCGCAUGAAAGUGUGGCUAAUACGGGAUAUUCUGGGUCUGUCGCAUGAUGGGUCUGGGAAAGAUUGCGCCUUUGGGUGUUUUUGGUGGGGGAUGGGCUCGCGGCCUAUCAGCUUGUUGGUGGGGUGAUGGCCUACCAAGGCGGUGACGGGUAGCCGGCCUGAGAGGGUGGGCGGUCACACUGGGACUGAGACACGGCCCAGACUCCUACGGGAGGCAGCAGUGGGGAAUAUUGCACAAUGGGCGCAAGCCUGAUGCAGCGACGCCGCGUGAGGGAUGGAGGCCUUCGGGUUGUAAACCUCUUUCGCCAGUGAAGCAGGCCUGCUCCUUGUGGGUGGGUUGACGGUAGCUGGAUAAGAAGCGCCGGCUAACUACGUG